UUGACCUCGGAUCAGGUAGGGAUACCCGCUGAACUUAAGCAUAUCAAUAAGCGGAGGAAAAGAAACCAACAGGGAUUGCCCCAGUAACGGCGAGUGAAGCGGCAAGAGCUCAAAUUUGAAAGCUGGCUCCUUCGGGGUCCGCAUUGUAAUUUGUAGAGGAUGCUUCGGGAGCGGUCCCCAUCUAAGUGCCCUGGAACGGGACGUCAUAGAGGGUGAGAAUCCCGUAUGGGAUGGGGUGUCCGCGCCCGUGUGAAGCUCCUUCGACGAGUCGAGUUGUUUGGGAAUGCAGCUCUAAAUGGGUGGUAAAUUUCAUCUAAAGCUAAAUAUUGGCCGGAGACCGAUAGCGCACAAGUAGAGUGAUCGAAAGAUGAAAAGCACUUUGAAAAGAGAGUUAAAAAGCACGUGAAAUUGUUGAAAGGGAAGCGCUUGCGACCAGACUCGCUCGCGGGGUUCAGCCGGCAUUCGUGCCGGUGUACUUCCCCGCGGGCGGGCCAGCGUCGGUUUGGGCGGUCGGUCAAAGGCCCUCGGAAGGUAACGCCCCUAGGGGCGUCUUAUAGCCGAGGGUGCAAUGCGACCUGCCUAGACCGAGGAACGCGCUUCGGCUCGACGCGC
This 612-nucleotide ribosomal RNA is filed under the name Penicillium griseofulvum. RNAcentral's name for it is "eukaryotic LSU rRNA". It matches the Rfam family "Eukaryotic large subunit ribosomal RNA", at positions 1 to 615 of the family's 3401-position model. Lineage: Eukaryota; Fungi; Ascomycota; Eurotiomycetes; Eurotiales; Aspergillaceae. The record is from RNAcentral.